UUGAACAUUAAAAAUCUUUCAAAUGAUCUCCAUUAAAAAUUAACGGGAAAACUGCAGUAAAUACAGAAAUAAAAAGCAUAACACAUUAAGACACCCACCUUUGUCUCGAAAAAUAAGCAAAAUUGAAAAGAAAAAUUGAAGGAGAAGAGACUAAACAUAUAUGUACCAGAGAAAAACAUAGAAACAAGAUAUCAGUACAAAAGAACUAUAACAUUGAAGUGAAACCAUCGAUGUCACUUGUGAUUGAAAAUUAGGGAUUUGAGUUCCUUGUACUUGGGCUGGAAUAAACGAGCACUUGCCAAUUAGACCAUCGAUGUCACAAGAGCAUGAGAGAGCUUGAGGGAAGCCAUCAAAGAAUUGCAUGAGGGACCAUCGAUCUCGCUAUUUGAGAGAGAUCUUAAGAGAGGAGAAUAAUCGAAGAAGAAGAGAAGGGACAUUGAUGGUAAGAGGGAGAGAGCGUGAAUUGCGAAAGAAGAAGAAGAAUCAAGAAAGGCAUAGAGCUUACCUUGAGUAAACUCGAUACAGCUUGGUUGAUUAUCUCUUCAUAUGAUUCAAUCUCAUGAAGAAAAAUGGAUGAAUUUGGAUCAUGAAUCACAUAGAAACCCAUUGGUAGGAGAGUGAAGAAGGUGGGAAUUUGUGGAGCAAAG
RNAcentral lists this unclassified non-coding RNA (647 nucleotides) under Hevea brasiliensis (rubber tree). Lineage: Eukaryota; Viridiplantae; Streptophyta; Magnoliopsida; Malpighiales; Euphorbiaceae. The record is from RNAcentral.